ACACCGGACGGUCUUUGGUGAUCAUAGUAACUUUUCGAAUCGCAUGACUUUACGUCGGCGAUGGUUCAUUCAAAUUUCUGCCCUAUCAAGUUUCGAUGGUAGGAUAGAGGCCUACCAUGCUUUUUACGGGUAACGGCGAAUUAGGGUUCGAUUCCGGAGAGGGAGCCUGAGAAACGGCUACCACAUCUAAGGAAGGCAGCAGGCGCGCAAAUUACCCAAUCCUGAUUCAGGGAGGUAGUGACAAUAAAUAACAAUCCAGGACUUCGGUCUUGGAAUUGGAAUGAGAACAAUUUAAAUCUCUUAUCGAGGAACAAUUGGAGGGCAAGUCUGGUGCCAGCAGCCGCGGUAAUUCCAGCUCCAAUAGCGUAUAUUAAAGUUGUUGCAGUUAAAAAGCUCGUAGUUGAAUUUUAGGCCUGGUUGGACGGUCUGCCUUUGGUUUGUACUGUCCUGACUGGGUCUUACCUUCUGGUGAGCUGUCGUGUUGUUUACUCAGCGCGGCAGGGAACCAGGACUUUUACUUUGAAAAAAUUAGAGUGUUAAAGCAGGCAUUCGCUUGAAUACAUUAGCAUGGAAUAAUAGAAUAGGACUUUGGUUCUAUUAAGAAGGGAUCUAGGACCGAAGUAAUGAUAAUAGGGAUAGUUGGGGGCAUUAGUAUUAAUUGUCAG
Molecule: ribosomal RNA, 665 nt
Filed under: uncultured fungus
Lineage: Eukaryota; Fungi
Description: bacterial SSU rRNA
Rfam family: Eukaryotic small subunit ribosomal RNA
Source: RNAcentral